AAAUAAUAUUUUUGUUUGAUAAAAAUUUACUUGCAUUUUAUUUUUAUAUAAUAUAUUUUAUAAAUUAUAAAUCCAUUAUUCAUAUAAUUAACUUUAAAAAAACAAUUCGAAUUACGCAACUAUACGUAUAAGUAUACAUAAAAUACUAUUUAAAUAUACCCAUUGUCGAACGAUAAAAGAUAAUGCGAAAGGAUUGAAUCUCGAAGAAUCUUGAUGAUGACUCUGAGAGGAAAGUAUCUCUGUCUGUCCUCCAAACUUUUUAUCAGAAACAUCGAAUUCAUUACGUGAGUUUAAAUCUUCUAUUUCUCGAUGUCUAUUGGUAAUCGUAUCAUCAUCUUGAAGCAUCUUUUCCUGUAUAUUUGGAUCAAAUCUCUUGCCGUGACCACCGAAACAGGAAUGUCCAAAUGCAGAACAACCACCUGUUAAGAUAAUAAAUUAAUAAAUAUUAUUUUUAAUUAAAAUCAUUAAUUAAAAUCAAAAUGGAAAUUUAGAAAAAUAUUAAAACUCUAUGUAUAUAAAAUGUUUAAUAUAAAUGUGUGUAUAUAAGAAA
This is a long non-coding RNA of Apis cerana (Asiatic honeybee), 550 nucleotides long. RefSeq lists it as uncharacterized. NCBI's taxonomy places the organism in Eukaryota, Metazoa, Arthropoda, Insecta, Hymenoptera, Apidae. The record is from RefSeq and is a predicted model, not a curated record.